UGGGGAAUUUUGCACAAUGGGGGAAACCCUGAUGCAGCGACGCCGCGUGAUUUAGAAGGCCUUCGGGUUGUAAAAAUCUUUUUUACGGGAUGAAUAUGACAGUACCGUAAGAAUAAGGUCCGGCUAAAUACGUGCCAGCAGCCGCGGUAAUACGUAUGGACCGAGCGUUGUCCGGAAUCAUUGGGCGUAAAGGGUACGUAGGCGGCCUAGUAAGUUAGAAGUUAAAGAAUAUAGCUCAACUAUAUAAAGCUUUUAAAACUGCUAGGCUUGAGAGAUGGAAGGGAAAGUGGAAUUCCUAGUGUAGCGGUGAAAUGCGCAGAUAUUAGGAAGAAUACCGGUGGCGAAGGCGACUUUCUGGUCAUCAUCUGACGCUGAGGUACGAAAGCGUGGGUAGCAAACAGG
Molecule: ribosomal RNA, 402 nt
Filed under: Bacteroidota bacterium
Lineage: Bacteria; Pseudomonadati; Bacteroidota
Description: Bacteroidetes bacterium partial 16S ribosomal RNA
Rfam family: Bacterial small subunit ribosomal RNA
Source: RNAcentral